GGCCCGUUGGUCAAUCGGUUAAGACACCGCCCUUUCACGGCGGUAACACGGGUUCGAGUCCCGUACGGGUCA
RNAcentral lists this transfer RNA (72 nucleotides) under Enterococcus faecalis. RNAcentral describes it as "tRNA-Glu". It matches the Rfam family "tRNA". From Rfam's summary of the family: Transfer RNA (tRNA) molecules are approximately 80 nucleotides in length. Lineage: Bacteria; Bacillati; Bacillota; Bacilli; Lactobacillales; Enterococcaceae. The record is from RNAcentral.